AAUUCGAUUGAGUUUGAUCAUGGCUCAGAAUCAACGCUGGCGGCGUGCCUCAGACAUGCAAGUCGAACGCGAAAGUCCCCUUCGGGGGACAAGUAGAGUGGCGCACGGGUGAGUAACACGUAGGUAAUCUACCUUCGGAUGGGGAAUAACAAUCGGAAACGAUUGCUAAUACCGCAUAAUGCAGCGGCACCUAAUGGUGACAGUUGUUAAAGCGGGGGAUCGAAAGACCUCGCGUCUGAAGAGGAGCCUGCGGCGGAUUAGCUAGUUGGUAAGGUAAUGGCUUACCAAGGCAACGAUCCGUAACCGGCCUGAGAGGGCGGUCGGUCACACUGACACUGACAUACGGGUCAGACUCCUACGGGAGGCAGCAGUCGGGAAUUUUGGGCAAUGGGCGAAAGCCUGACCCAGCAACGCCGCGUGAAGGAUGAAAUCCCUCGGGAUGUAAACUUCGCAAGAACGGGAAGAAUAAGUAGGGGACAAUACCCCCUAUGAUGACGGUACCGUUUGUAAGCUCCGGCUAACUCCGUGCCAGCAGCCGCGGUAAUACGGGGGGAGCAAGCGUUGUUCGGAUUUACUGGGCGUAAAGGGCGCGUAGGCGGCCAGCACAAGUCAGUUGUGAAAUCUCCGAGCUUAACUCGGAAAGGUCAACUGAUACUGUGCGGCUAGAGUGCGGAAGGGGCAACUGGAAUUCUUGGUGUA
Molecule: ribosomal RNA, 699 nt
Filed under: uncultured bacterium
Lineage: Bacteria
Description: bacterial SSU rRNA
Rfam family: Bacterial small subunit ribosomal RNA
Source: RNAcentral